AAUGACUACAAAGGACACUUUCAGCAUAAAAAUAUUCUUCUGACUGAGGCCUUAGACUUGCUUUAUACUCCAGUAGAGCUGUGCGGUCUCCUUGUGCAGCGAGUAUCUAUUUAUAGAAAAAUUAUUUUAACAUUUAUUGUUAAAUAAGUAAUCGCCCUAUGCGCUUUUUCAUAACACAACUUACAUUUAUAACAGCCUUAUGACAAUUGAGAUUUUUGGCUACUUCCAAUCUUUUUCCACUGUCUAAAUAAUUAAGAAAUUUCUCAAUAAUACCAGAAGGCGCUUGAUGAUCUUGCAAGAGUUUUAAAACUUCUUCAAUAGAAAUUCACCUUUUUAUGAAGUAAAUUAUCAAUGUCAUCCCAGGAUUGAACAGAUGCUCUGGUGGUAAUGGCUAUUUUUUGAUACUGCCUAGAUGAAAUUUCUUGAUUUUGAACCAGCCAGAGUGGAGAAUGAGUGCUACUCUCAGGAGCACCCCAACAAUCUUUACAAGCCAGCCUUAAGCAUUCCAAAGCAGAAGCAUUGUACUUCAAUGGCUCACUAAAUUUGUUAUGUGCAUUCUUUUGCCAUUCUGUAGUAAACCCAAAAGUAUUCACAUGAAUAAAUAGAUGUGUGACAUCAUUAAGAGAA
Molecule: long non-coding RNA, 627 nt
Organism: Nasonia vitripennis (jewel wasp)
Lineage: Eukaryota; Metazoa; Arthropoda; Insecta; Hymenoptera; Pteromalidae
Exons: 2
Source: RefSeq, a predicted model, not a curated record